ACACAUGCAAGUCGAACGAUGGCCCCCCGCUUGCGGGGGUGAUUAGUGGCGAACGGGUGAGUAACACGUGAGUAACCUGCCCUUGACUCUGGGAUAAGCCUGGGAAACCGGGUCUAAUACCGGAUAUGUACCCUUCACCGCAUGGUGGGGGGUGGAAAGCCUUGUGCGGUUUUGGAUGGACUCGCGGCCUAUCAGCUUGUUGGUGGGGUAAUGGCCCACCAAGGCGACGACGGGUAGCCGGCCUGAGAGGGUGACCGGCCACACUGGGACUGAGACACGGCCCAGACUCCUACGGGAGGCAGCAGUGGGGAAUAUUGCACAAUGGGCGCAAGCCUGAUGCAGCGACGCCGCGUGAGGGAUGACGGCCUUCGGGUUGUAAACCUCUUUCAGUAGGGAAGAAGCGAAAGUGACGGUACCUGCAGAAGAAGCGCCGGCUAACUACGUGCCAGCAGCCGCGGUAAUACGUAGGGCGCAAGCGUUAUCCGGAAUUAUUGGGCGUA
Molecule: ribosomal RNA, 500 nt
Filed under: Arthrobacter pascens
Lineage: Bacteria; Bacillati; Actinomycetota; Actinomycetes; Micrococcales; Micrococcaceae
Description: bacterial SSU rRNA
Rfam family: Bacterial small subunit ribosomal RNA
Source: RNAcentral